CGAAGGGUGCAUGCGUUACUCGGAAUUACUGGGCGUAAAGCGUGCGUAGGUGGUGAGUUAAGUCUGUCGUGAAAGCCCCGGGCUCAACCUGGGAAUGGCGAUGGAUACUGGCUCGCUAGAGUGCGGUAGAGGAGAGUGGAAUUCCCGGUGUAGCAGUGAAAUGCGUAGAGAUCGGGAGGAACAUCAGUUGCGAAGGCGGCUCUCUGGACCAGCACUGACACUGAGGCACGAAAGCGUGGGGAGCAAACAGGAUUAGAUACCCUGGUAGUCCACGCCCUAAACGAUGCGAACUGGACGUUGGGAGCAAUCAGGCUCUCAGUGUCGAAGCUAACGCGUUAAGUUCGCCGCCUGGGGAGUACGGUCGCAAGACUG
This 372-nucleotide ribosomal RNA is filed under the name uncultured organism. Its description in RNAcentral is "bacterial SSU rRNA". It matches the Rfam family "Bacterial small subunit ribosomal RNA", at positions 526 to 896 of the family's 1533-position model. The record is from RNAcentral.